This 496-nucleotide ribosomal RNA is filed under the name uncultured bacterium. RNAcentral describes it as "partial 16S ribosomal RNA". It matches the Rfam family "Bacterial small subunit ribosomal RNA", at positions 28 to 507 of the family's 1533-position model. The record is from RNAcentral.
GAUGAACGCUGGCGGCGUGCCUAAUACAUGCAAGUCGAGCGAACGGACGAGAAGCUUGCUUCUCUGAUGUUAGCGGCGGACGGGUGAGUAACACGUGGAUAACCUACCUAUAGACUGGGAUAACUUCGGGAAACCGGAGCUAAUACCGGAUGAUAUUUUGAACCGCAUUGUUCAAAAGUGAAAGACGGUCUUGCUGUCACUUAUAGAUGGAUCCGCGCUGCAUUAGCUAGUUGGUAAGGUAACGGCUUACCAAGGCAACGAUGCAUAGCCGACCUGAGAGGGUGAUCGGCCACACUGGAACUGAGACACGGUCCAGACUCCUACGGGAGGCAGCAGUAGGGAAUCUUCCGCAAUGGGCGAAAGCCUGACGGAGCAACGCCGCGUGAGUGAUGAAGGUCUUCGGAUCGUAAAACUCUGUUAUUAGGGAAGAACAUAUGUGUAAGUAACUGUGCACAUCUUGACGGUACCUAAUCAGAAAGCCACGGCUAACUACGUG